UUAAACUACUUCUUGUAUCCAAAGACAGCAAGUCCGCCUACGCUAAAGCUACGGCGCAUAAAUCUUGCCCAGGAUUCAAUAUAUAAACUUAUUAUAAACGUCUUUGGAAGACGUUUUUUUUUAUAUGG
Molecule: non-coding RNA, 128 nt
Organism: Actinobacteria bacterium RBG_19FT_COMBO_36_27
Lineage: Bacteria; Bacillati; Actinomycetota
Source: Rfam